RNAcentral lists this unclassified non-coding RNA (3895 nucleotides) under Centruroides sculpturatus (bark scorpion). Its description in RNAcentral is "large neutral amino acids transporter small subunit 4-like, transcript variant X1". The record is from RNAcentral. Lineage: Eukaryota; Metazoa; Arthropoda; Arachnida; Scorpiones; Buthidae.
CGUUUGUUCCUACCGAUUCCUUUGAAAUUUUGACACAACGCUGCAUUCGAAUACGCACGUGUUUUUAUAUAAUAUACUGUACAUUACGAAAUUCCUCCCACUGGGAGAAGAUGGUUAGGAUUAAGGCUUACUGUAAAGAACUCUGCUUCUAUUAUACUAUUUUAGAUGCGGUUUUUUGUGUUUUUGAUUGCAUUUUAAUAGGGUACGUCAAGAGAAUGUACACUAAGAAAGGAUUUUUCGAAAAAUUCCCCCCCAUGGGGAAAGUGUGUGUUAUACAUUUAUAAUAGAUACAUUUUGAGCCACAACAACGCGUGGCGGGGUCUGCUAAUAUAGUAUACAAUUAUGAAUUCGGACUUUGUUUAAUCAAUAUUUGUUAAAUAUAAAAAUUUUUAAUAAACAUUUUGCUGACUCCAAACUUUUUAUCAGGAAACGUAAAACAAUUAAGUUAAAGAUAAUUUAACUUAUCAAAUGCCGGGAGUUUCCAUGCCAUGUCAACUGUAUUAAAGAAUUUCUGUAUAUUUUUCAAAGAAUUUUCCUAAAUUGAAAUAGUGUUUGAUGAAAAUCGAAUUCAGUUGCCAAAGUAAUUAAGUUCCUACCGUUCUUUCUCAUAUCAUAUAAUUGUGAAUUAGGUUUAUGAUUACAAAUGAUGUAAUAUGGCAUAUAGAUGAAAAGUGUUAAUUGGAAUUUGGAUCUUCGAGGCACACACUACAGGAUCAAAACCUUGCCAUUACGUAAGCUAAUUCGAUCUAUUAACCUAAUUAGAAGAAAAAUUCAUCUUAUAUCGUUACGAUCUAUCAAAACUAAAUAUAAAUUAUGUAGAAAUACGAAAUUAGAUAUCAUUACAUUGCAUUCAUUCAUCGUUGCCUGAAUAUUAAAAGUGUCGAAAUUAAAUAAAGUUACGAUGUAUUUAUUACGCAGAAAAAAAUAGUAUAUACAAUGUGUUUCGUGUUUAUCGCUUCUUUAUUUAUUAUCUUACGUAAUAUUUUCAUUAUCAGAUUAUCAGUCCUCUACCAAAACGUGACUAUUUAUCCAUAAUUAAAACACUUGACACCCAAAUUUUAGGAAUCCAAAACAAUUUACACUGAACUAAUGGAAAAGAAGAUGUCAGGACGAUUUUAAGCUAAGUAUUUUAUAUAUAGCCUAAAUAGAUAAAUAAGUUUUUCUCGGGAUUUUCUUGUUUGUUUGUAUUUUAGCUGUGAAAUCUGUUUAAUUGGGACAGUAAUCUUCAGUCUGAAUAGACUUUACUGUAAUAAAAAACAAUAAAAUUUUUAUAAAUCAAAAUUUAUAUAGGUCGAAGAUAAAUGUGAAGUUACUAAUACAUGAUAUGGAUUCUUCACUCUUUUAAAAAUGUAGUAAUGACUAUUGUAAUUAUUAAUUAUUUACUGUGAAGAUAUAAAAUAUAAAAAUGCAAAUAAAAUAAUGUUGGAGGCAAUUUUCCACAUCAACAAUUAUGAUAAAACUAUUAUACUUAAAGAAUCACAGUUUUUUUCCUUCUAUUGAAAAUUAUUAAUCUAAAUAUGCUAUUUUUUUCGAGUAAUGAAAUUAUAUUUUUAGCAUUAAUAUGAUGAAAAAACCGCAUUGGUUUAAAGGUAAUCCAAUUGCAACAAAAUAUAACUUUCUACACGUGUAUUUAAUAAAUAACUUAUUUAUGUGAGAAUGUAUUUUUCAUACAUAUAAAAACUAAUAUUUUCUGCCAAAACGUUCUUUAUUUUAUAUUCUUGUAAUCAUUAUUAAUACAGUAAUUACAAUUUCCAAUAACACCGGCAUCGAUCUACAUAUAACGUAUAUUUGGAUGUUCGGGCCAUCAAUAAAUGAGAAAUGAAAAAUAAGGCGUACUUGUGUAUAAUGUACUCGUUCUAUUCCUAAGUUUUUCGUAUGGUAUAAAAUAAAAAUACGUAUAUAUAAAUAAUGCGAUGAAAGCACUUUCACACGGGUUAUAAAUAUUCAAAGUCUAUCUAUAGAAAAUAGGAAUAAAAUGAAUUUCGAGCUUAUUUAAAAAAAGAAAAAAAAUCGAAUUUAAAAUAAAUAAUAUAACUAUAUUUUAUUUAUUUGAAAGCGUAUUUCUUUCCGGAAACGUCUCCGAUUAUUUAUAGGUAUGUCUGAAUGUAUGGAGUUGCGUCAAAUUCGAUAAUCGUAACGCGAUUAGUGGGCAAUGAUCUCAUAGCAUCUAAUAAAUUUUAUUUCUUUAUCAUUAACGAUAACGGUGUAUCAAAUCACGUGGUAUAUGCAAAGAUGUCAUUCGGAGAGUAAACUCGAUCGGAGAAAGUCGUAAUUCGUCUUCUAUCCACAAACAUGGAAAACUGGAAAAAGUGGUUAUGCUUCUUUAUUGGUUAUUUCGAAAGUUUAUUAUUUGCCGGUAUCAUUUACGGUUGGCCGAGUUUAGUAUACCUUUUUAAAGAAGAUCACCUUUAUAGUCACCUGUGUUCUAAUAUCACUGUAGCGGUAGAAUCUAAUGUAACUGUUGCAGUCCACGCGGAAAUGUACACCAAGAAGACACAGGUAAACUAUAUAAAUUGCUACGAAGAAGAUAGCAUGUACAAUUUGGCAUUUAGUAUAGGUACCUGUAUACUGUCCACUUCUGUCUUAUUUGGUGCAUUGAUAUUAGAUUAUAUGGGUUUAAGGUUUACUAGGGUAUUAAACAGCAUCAUUUUGGCAUUAAGCUUUUUAUUAUUUGGCUUGUGUAAUAAAGAAAGACCGUAUCUUAUAUUUUUCGGAGUAGUUUUAUUAGGAUUAGGAGGGGGUCAACUUCGCUUAACAGAUCUACAAAUUGCAGAUAUAUUUCCGAAAGCAAAAGCUACUGUAAUUGCGCUGUAUGGCGGAGCCUACACGGGAUCGUCUAUCGUAUUUCUGUUUUUUAAAAUAGGUUACGAAUUUGGAAUCUCUUGGCGCACUUCCUUCUACUUUUGCAGUAUAUUAUCGUUACUCAUGCUAAUUCCUACAUUUUUAUUAUUUCCGAAGAUUAAAUUUAAUUCAGAGGUGCAUAAAUCCAACAAGGUAACUCAAAAUGUAAUCCAUAACGAUGAAAAGACUCCUCUGAUCGUCUCUACCAAUACUAAACAUAAAAUUGAUCAUGAUCAUCCACAGAGUCAAAUUAGUAUUGAUAAAUCGGUAGAAUACAUGAAAUCUUUGCCAUUAUCUCAUUCAUUAACUUCUUUCUCGUAUCUCAUCCACGUUUACUCUAUUUCUAUUGCCUGUCUGGUGGUGAUGAUAUAUAACGGAUCUUUUAAUGUAUGGAUUAGUGCCGUGACGAAAAACAACGAAACUGUAAGUUAUUUGGUGGAGGUGUUUGGUUCCAUACAAAUAUUAAUGGUCAUUAUCGGACCGGUGGUAGGCACUAUGAUGGAUUAUGCCGUGAAUAAAGCUAAUACAGUAAAAGAAGCCAUUAGCAGAAGGAAAAAAAGACAGAAGGGAGGAUUUUGGGCUUUGCUAAUAACGUUUAUUGUAACAAUAGCAUUACUGACUUGUACUUUUUUUUCGAAUAUUAAUGCGAUUUACGUAUCCAUAUUUAUUUAUCUAUUGGCUCGAUCUAUGUCUAUCUCCGCUCAACCGGCAUAUAUACGAAAUUUCAGAUAUAUAUGUAUAGUGGUGUCAUCUAUUUCGGCACCAGUGCAUUUCCGGACUUAAGCUAACAGAACUAUUUUUAUUCUUUGUCCUGCCAGGAAUCCAUUCCGAAGUUUGUCCCCAUAGUUUGGAACAACCCUGUAUGUAUAUAGUGCAGUAUAUUCAUAUAUUGUUACAUAAAUUUCAGGUUCCCGCAGCAUCAUUUCAAUGUUUUGACUGGAAUAUCCGGAGUAGCCAUAGGUUUUCAAGCAUUGAUACAAUAUUUUUUCUUUAUUUGGAUAGGAAAUAACCCAUUAUGGGCUCGAUCGACAUUGCUCAUAUUAGCAACUAUCAA